Molecule: non-coding RNA, 2479 nt
Organism: Coffea arabica (coffee)
Lineage: Eukaryota; Viridiplantae; Streptophyta; Magnoliopsida; Gentianales; Rubiaceae
Source: RefSeq, a predicted model, not a curated record
GGCGUGGACUAGACUAAUUUCUUCAUUUCACCUGGCGAGCGACGACACCUGACGGACAUCGCAUUUGUCGAUGCUGAAGCUCUUCGCGUGGCGUCGGACAACCUCUCGAGGCCUACCCAAAAUCACGCCCUUACCCUCAUCCCCAAUGCUCUGUGUCUCUCGACUUCUGAGCCACUCUCCGUUAUCUGAUGAAGACGACGACAUUUACGACCCUCCAUUCUCAGCUACCUCCAAAACCCUCCUUAAACCCCGGGCCGGGAGACAACACAAGAAGAAAAAUGAACAAAAGAAAGCUCGAGGAGGGAAAAAGGGUUCCUCGAAUGUGCUUGAUUCCCGAAAUGCCCUGAAUUUUCCGGUAAAGUCGGACCUACCCUUUGAUUUCAAGUACUCCUACUCUGAGACCAACCCGGAUGUGAAGCCAAUCGGGUUUCGCGAACCGCCGAGGUUCUCUCCUUUUGGUCCUGGUCGGCUUGACCGGAAAUGGACCGGGACGUCGGCCCCGGCGGAAGAGUCUGUGGAUUCGGAGAAGUUGGCCGAGCAACGGAAUAAGGUUCUUGGGGAACCUUUAAUGGAGGAGGAGAUUGCAGAGCUCGUGGAGAAAUAUAGGCAUAGUGAUUGUUCUCGCCAAAUCAAUCUAGGGAAAGGAGGAGUUACUCACAACAUGCUGGAAGACAUUCAUAACCAUUGGAAGAGGGCUGAAGCUGUGAGGAUUAAGUGCUUAGGGGUGCCAACUCUUGACAUGGACAAUGUUUGUUUUCAUCUCGAGGAUCACAGUGCGCUUGUAGGAUAAAUCUGGUGGGAUGAUAAUUUAUCGUCAGAGUAACGUUCUCCUGCUAUACAGAGGUCGGAACUAUGAUCCUAAAAAUAGACCAGUCAUUCCUUUGAUGCUGUGGAAGCCAUAUGCACCAAUAUAUCCAAAGCUUGUGAAGCCUGUUGCUGAUGGCCUGACAUUUGACGAGGCAAAGGAGAUGAGAAACAAAGGGCUCAACUCUGAUCCCAUAAUGAAACUCACCAGGAAUGGUGUGUAUGUGAAUGUGGUGGACAGAGUGAGAGAUGCAUUUAAGACCAAGGAAGUUGUUAGACUAGAUUGUGCACACGUGGGGACUAGUGACUGCAAAAGGAUAGGAGUUAAGUUACGGGAUCUGGUACCUUGUACUCCUAUCUUGUUCAAGGACGAACAAAUAAUACUUUGGCGGGGAAGGAAUGAUCAGAUAUACAGCUCAAGUGCAGUGGAACUUGCAACUUAAAAAGAUGCUAGAAGUAGAAAGUCGUAUACUUGGAGUUGAGCUCAUUAACUUGGGUUUACAUCUUGCUUCAUUUCCUCCAUUAAUCACCAACCAGAUUUGGGAAGCAUGAGCUGACUGCUUUAUUCUGGGAUGAGGUCUUCCUGACUUUAUGGCUGAUAAUUUGCCUAUUCGCAGUUUUGAGUCCUAGGUUGUUGGCACAUGAUAUGAUUGAAAGGUUAAAAAUUGAAAGCACUCGGUAGAAAGGUGGAAUCUUAUAGGCUAUAUAGCUAACGGAUUGGAGUACCAAUUUUAUAUUAGACUGUAGAGUAAUCGCCUCCCAUUUUGUCAUUCGUAUUUAGUGUCCCGCUGUGGAACGAUGCCAUUGUUGCGUAAAAACCUUUUUUCUUUUCGUCCAAAUUUUAUUUAUCAAACAGAUUGCAACUACUGAUGCUGUGUGUUGUCUCUCUCUCUCUCUCACACACACACACACAGAGUUUGCGCAGCUCAGCAUAUACCAGCUCCAGACGCUUCCUAGUAGCUAACAAAAUCUUGGGCGAUGGCAAAUUUGGAUGUCGGCAACACGAUGAGGAUUUUCUUGCUGUCUGUCCGGAUCCCUUGAAGGAACCAAUCAAACUGUACUCAAAAGCUGAUAUCUAGUUUCUCUUACCUUUGAAAAAAUCUUAUCCUCGAACUUUCCACAGUUCCAGAAGACAUAGGACCCAGAUUAAUGAAGAUCACGUUAAUGUCCUGCUUUGCCCAAGGGCCCUGGUUUUAAAUUCAAAGUGCCGAGUACUUUUAAGGAUUCAAUCCACCUUCAGAAAAUAACACCCUGGAUUUAAACUCACAUACCGUAAGUAAUCUUCUUAUACAGCAAUUUAAGGAUUCAGUCCACUUCCAGAAGAAAGGAAGGUACAUACCGUUCUUACAAUACCUUACAAUACAUAAUAACAGUACAACACUUGCAGAUUUGCACUCCUCUAACUAUGCUGGUAUUAUACACUGCUUCAGGAGUUUGUGCAGUAGUUCAUUUAAUUAGGCACCCCCUUGAGAGAACAGUUUUACGGCUGCAAUAGGAGCUUUCUCAAGUCACGACUCUCUUCAAGAAUGCAACCCGAACUCCUUAGAGUGGUUAUCCAGACCUCAUCGGACCUCACUGGUUCAUCAUCGUCAUUCCUAUGCCAGCUCCAGAAAGCAUGAGUGGAAUUCACUAUCUUGAGCUCACCAUGACCAAAACUUGCUUCGCGGAACACUGA